AUAAAAAAAAUUAUUUAUUUGAAUAAUUUAAUUUAUAUUUAAAAUUAAAAUAUUAUUUUUUAUUAUUAUUAUGAAAAAAUUCUUUUUAAUUAUAGAUAAUUAGUAUUUUAUUAGAAUUUAAUUAUAUAAAUAAAAGAAAAAUUUAUUUUUUGUACCUUGUGUAUCAGGGUUGAUUAAUUAAUAAUUAUUAAUUUAAUUUUCUCGAAUUAAUUAGAGCUAAUUUAAUAUAUUUAAUAUUGUUAAAUAAAUAUAUAAAAUAUUAAUUUAGUAAUGAAAUGUUAUUCGUUUAUUAAUAUAUCUAGUUUUUUAAGAAAAAAAUUUAAUUUUAAUUUUAAGAAUAUAAUUUUAAAUUUUUCAUUUUAUAUUAUUAAAAUUCAAUAUUUUUAGGGAUGAGCUUAAAAGUAAAAAAUUAUAAAUUUUUUAUUUUAAUUAUUAAAUAUGUAAAAUUAAAAAUAUUUAUCAAAAAAAUUUUGUUAUAAUUUGUUUAAUUUAUUUUAUAAUUUAUAUUAAUUUUAAUUUUUUUAUUAAAAUAUUAAUUUAAAUUUUUUUAAUUAAGUAAUAAUGAUUAAAUUAGUAAAAUUAUUUUUAUAUAGUAUAAUAAAAAUAAGAUUAUAUUAAGGAAUUCGGCAAAUAUAAUUUUCACCUGUUUAAUAAAAACAUGUCCUAUUGAUUAAUAUUUUAGGUCUAACCUGCCCAUUGAAUUUAAUUUAAAAGGCCGCGGUAUUUUGACCGUGCAAAGGUAGCAUAAUCAUUAGUUUUUUAAUUGAAAGCUGGUAUGAAGGGUUGAAUGAAAAAUUAACUGUCUCAAUAUAAUUAAUUGAAUUUUAUUUUUAAGUUAAAAAGCUUAAAUAUUUUUAAAAGACGAGAAGACCCUAUAGAGUUUUAUAUUAAUAGUAGUUUUAAUUUUAUAGAAUUUAGAAAUUAAUUUUAUUAUUUUAUUUAAUUGGGGUGAUUGAAAAAUUUAUAUAACUUUUUUUAUAUUUUAACAAUGAUAUUUGAAUUUAUGAUCCAAAAAUUUUGAUUAUAAGAAUUAAUUACCUUAGGGAUAACAGCGUAAUUUUUUUUGAGAGUUCUUAUUGAUAAAAAAGAUUGCGACCUCGAUGUUGGAUUAAAAUUUAUUAUUGGUGUAGAAGCUAUAUAAUUAAGUCUGUUCGACUUUUAAAAUUUUACAUGAUCUGAGUUUAAACCGGUGUAAGCCAGGUUGGUUUCUAUCUUUAAAAAAGUUAAUAUAUUUUAGUACGAAAGGACCAUUUAUAUAAUUAAAAAUUUAAUUUAGAAUAAAAAU
Molecule: ribosomal RNA, 1285 nt
Filed under: Phalacridae sp. KM-2017
Lineage: Eukaryota; Metazoa; Arthropoda; Insecta; Coleoptera; Phalacridae
Description: 16S ribosomal RNA
Rfam family: Archaeal large subunit ribosomal RNA (bases 1045-1203)
Source: RNAcentral